Molecule: long non-coding RNA, 65 nt
Filed under: Chrysemys picta bellii (western painted turtle)
Lineage: Eukaryota; Metazoa; Chordata; Testudines; Emydidae
Description: lncRNA (ENSCPBG00000000087.1)
Source: RNAcentral
CUGCUUUAACUCCAUGGCUCUGCUUCUGCAGACUACUAAGUUCUUUUUGACUGAAUACGUAUGUG